GACGAACGCUGGCGGCGUGCUUAACACAUGCAAGUCGAACGGAAAGGCCCCUUCGGGGGUACUCGAGUGGCGAACAGGUGAGUAACACGUGAGUAACCUGCCCUUGACUUCGGGAUAACUUCAGGAAACUGGGGCUAAUACCGGAUAGGAAUCCUUGCUGCAUGGUGGGGGUUGGAAAGCUUCGGCGGUUUUGGAUGGACUCGCGGCUCAUCAGCUUGUUGGUGGGGUAGUGGCUUACCAAGGCUUUGACGGGUAGCCGGCCUGAGAGGGCGACCGGCCACAUUGGGACUGAGAUACGGCCCAGACUCCUACGGGAGGCAGCAGUGGGGAAUAUUGCACAAUGGGCGGAAGCCUGAUGCAGCAACGCCGCGUGCGGGAUGACGGCCUUCGGGUUGUAAACCGCUUUCAGCAGGGGCGAAGCUUGUGGUGACGGUACCUGCAGAAGAAGCACCGGCUAACUACGUG
Molecule: ribosomal RNA, 465 nt
Filed under: uncultured bacterium
Lineage: Bacteria
Description: partial 16S ribosomal RNA
Rfam family: Bacterial small subunit ribosomal RNA
Source: RNAcentral